GAUGAACGCUGGCGGCGUGCCUAAUACAUGCGAGUCGAGCGAACAGACGAGGAGCUUGCUCCUCUGACGUUAGCGGCGGACGGGUGAGUAACACGUGGAUAACCUACCUAUAAGACUGGGAUAACUUCGGGAAACCGGAGCUAAUACCGGAUAAUAUAUUGAACCGCAUGGUUCAAUAGUGAAAGACGGUUUUGCUGUCACUUAUAGAUGGAACCGCGCCGCAUUAGCUAGUUGGUAAGGUAACGGCUUACCAAGGCAACGAUGCGUAGCCGACCUGAGAGGGUGAUCGGCCACACUGGAACUGAGACACGGUCCAGACUCCUACGGGAGGCAGCAGUAGGGAAUCUUCCGCAAUGGGCGAAAGCCUGACGGAGCAACGCCGCGUGAGUGAUGAAGGUCUUCGGAUCGUAAAACUCUGUUAUUAGGGAAGAACAAAUGUGUAAGUAACUAUGCACGUCUUGACGGUACCUAAUCAGAAAGCCACGGCUAACUACGUG
This 497-nucleotide ribosomal RNA is filed under the name uncultured bacterium. RNAcentral's name for it is "partial 16S ribosomal RNA". It matches the Rfam family "Bacterial small subunit ribosomal RNA", at positions 28 to 507 of the family's 1533-position model. The record is from RNAcentral.